UACGUAGGUGGCAAGCGUUGUCCGGAUUUACUGGGCGUAAAGAGCGCGCAGGCGGUCGGCCAAGUCGAGUGUGAAAGCCCCCGGCUCAACUGGGGAGGGUCAUUCGAUACUGGUCGACUCGAAGGCAGGAGAGGGAAGCGGAAUUCCCGGUGUAGUGGUGAAAUGCGUAGAUAUCGGGAGGAACACCAGUGGCGAAGGCGGCUUCCUGGCCUGUUCUUGACGCUGAGGCGCGAAAGCUAGGGGGGCAAACGGG
RNAcentral lists this ribosomal RNA (253 nucleotides) under uncultured bacterium. Its description in RNAcentral is "partial 16S ribosomal RNA". It matches the Rfam family "Bacterial small subunit ribosomal RNA", at positions 524 to 776 of the family's 1533-position model. The record is from RNAcentral.